RNAcentral lists this ribosomal RNA (254 nucleotides) under uncultured bacterium. RNAcentral's name for it is "partial 16S ribosomal RNA". It matches the Rfam family "Bacterial small subunit ribosomal RNA", at positions 524 to 776 of the family's 1533-position model. The record is from RNAcentral.
UACGUAGGGUGCGAGCGUUAAUCGGAAUUACUGGGCGUAAAGCGUGCGUAGGUGGUUUGUUAAGUCUGAUGUGAAAGCCCUGGGCUCAACCUGGGAAUUGCAUUGGAUACUGGAAGGCUAGAGUGUGUCAGAGGGGGGGUAGAAUUCCACGUGUAGCAGUGAAAUGCGUAGAGAUGUGGAGGAAUACCGAUGGCGAAGGCAGCCCCCUGGGAUAACACUGACGCUCAUGCACGAAAGCGUGGGGAGCAAAUAGG